AUUUAUGUACUCUUCCUCUCAAUCACCAAUAUGGUCCCAGUUAUGCAUGUUUAUGUAUGUGUUGUCUACAGGUGGUUAUGCUGGUUUUAUCUUUCGGUUGGUUGUUAGCCCCCUACAAGAGUUGUCACCAUAUGAAAAGGCUCCAAAAGGUGUCACGGUCAGGAAUCUUUUUUCCAGGCAUCCAGUGAUGAUCAGAGGGCCACAGUACCAAUUGGGCAGACUUUGUCAAGGCGGCAGGAAUAGAAGAAUAGCAUAUACUCAGAUAAGGAUCUUCGUCUUCAACAUUAUAAGGGGAAAUUAUUGCUCACUGUCCUGUCCAUACGCUUUAGAAGGAAAUCACAAGUGUAUUUUCUAUACAAAACCAUCAUGUGGUCAUCUAUAUUACGAACUAUUCACACCAAA
This is a non-coding RNA of Aegilops tauschii subsp. strangulata, 402 nucleotides long. NCBI's taxonomy places the organism in Eukaryota, Viridiplantae, Streptophyta, Magnoliopsida, Poales, Poaceae. The record is from RefSeq and is a predicted model, not a curated record.